This 253-nucleotide ribosomal RNA is filed under the name uncultured bacterium. RNAcentral's name for it is "partial 16S ribosomal RNA". It matches the Rfam family "Bacterial small subunit ribosomal RNA", at positions 524 to 776 of the family's 1533-position model. The record is from RNAcentral.
UACAGAGGUCUCAAGCGUUGUUCGGAUUCAUUGGGCGUAAAGGGUGCGUAGGUGGUGAUGCAAGUCUGGUGUGAAAUCUCGGAGCUCAACUCCGAAAUUGCACCGGAUACUGCGUGACUCGAGGACUGUAGAGGAGAUCGGAAUUCACGGUGUAGCAGUGAAAUGCGUAGAUAUCGUGAGGAAGACCAGUUGCGAAGGCGGAUCUCUGGGCGGUUCCUGACACUGAGGCACGAAGGCCAGGGGAGCAAACGGG